UAGGCGUGCAACUCGCCUACACGAAGUUGGAAUUGCUAGUAAUCGUGGAUCAGCAUGCCACGGUGAAUACGUUCCCGGGUCCUUGUACACACCGCCCGUCACACCAUGAGAGUUGGAGAUACCCGAAGCCUAUGAGCUAACUUUUAGAGGCAGUAGUCGAAGGUAGAAUCAAUGAUUGGGGUGAAGUCGUAACAAGGUAAC
RNAcentral lists this ribosomal RNA (201 nucleotides) under uncultured bacterium. RNAcentral's name for it is "partial 16S ribosomal RNA". It matches the Rfam family "Bacterial small subunit ribosomal RNA", at positions 1301 to 1500 of the family's 1533-position model. The record is from RNAcentral.